AAUGAACGCUGGCGGCAUGCCUUACACAUGCAAGUCGAACGGCAGCACAACCUAGCUUGGCUGGUUGGUGGCGCGAGGCGCAGGGGGGAGUAGUGUACCGGAACGUGUCUUUUUGCGUGGGGGAUCGUAGCGAGAGAUACACUCUUAUCGCAUAUACGCUGUGGAGGAAAACAGGGGAGCUCUUGGCACUGUGCUAGAUUAGCUGCCGAUGUCGGAUUAGCUAGUUGGUGGGGUAAAGGCUCACCAAGGCGACGAUCCGUAGCGGGUCUGAGAGGAUGAUCCGCCACACUGGAACUGAGACACGGUCCAGACUCCUACGGGAGGCAGCAGUGGGGAAUUUUGGACAAUGGGCGCAAGCCUGAUCCAGCCAUGCCGCGUGGGUGAAGAAGGCCUUCGGGUUGUAAAGCUCUUUCGGCUGGGAAGAAAACGCGCCCGCUAAUACAGCGUGUGGCUGACGGUACCCAAAUAAGAAGCACCGGCUAACUACGUG
Molecule: ribosomal RNA, 490 nt
Filed under: uncultured bacterium
Lineage: Bacteria
Description: partial 16S ribosomal RNA
Rfam family: Bacterial small subunit ribosomal RNA
Source: RNAcentral